AAUUUACUUGAUCUAAGAGUCUCACACUUUUAGCAGCUAAACUUAAGUGUAGCAUAACUUAGGGUCAAGAUUCUCUUAGGGGUGAUAUGCCAAUCAAGUUAAAAGAUAUCUGGGUGUAGGGGAAAUAUAUUUAGUAUAUAUAGUACAUAGCAUAAACUAUAAGGUUUAUGCCACACAAUAUUAUCAAUUAAUUAUAUUAGAAUUAUUUAAUAAUUAAUAAUUAAUCAGUCCACUCUUAUAGAACUUAGUUUUAUGCGUAUUUGAAUUAAUACCCUAAGCUUUAGUGAAAUUUUUCACUUAAUCUAUAAUGUAAAUAUUAGUAAGUAUUUUAAAUCUUUAUGAAGGAACUCGGCAAACCUAUUUCUCUUGUCUGUUUACCAAAAACAUAGCUUAAAGAGUGCGUAACACAGAUUUUAAGUAACCCCUGCCCGGUGAGUUAUAGAAACUUUAACGGCCGCAGUACCUUGACUGUGCAAAGGUAGCAUAAUAAUUUGUCCUCUAAUUAAGGUCUGGAAUGAAGGGGGACACAGGGGAGAGCUGUCUCCAAUAAGGUUAAUUUAACUUUCUUAUCAGGUGAAAAUUCCUGAGCCUCCGAUGAAAGACGAGAAGACCCUUAGAGUUUUUAUUAUAACUUGAUAUAUUAAGAUUCUUGUUCUGUUUUUGUUGGGGCGACAGGGUUACAAUAGAUAACUUACCCUACCAUAUUUUUAUAUGGCGAUCAUUAUACUUUUAAUUAAGCUACCUAAGGGAUAACAGCGUAAUCUUUUUUUUUGGUUUGCGACCUCGAUGUUGGACUAGGGGCCUACUGGUUAGUUACCAUUAUGGGGCGGUUCUGUUCGAACUUUUCCUACCCUACGUGAUCUGAGUUCAGACCGG
RNAcentral lists this ribosomal RNA (876 nucleotides) under Lissachatina fulica (giant African snail). RNAcentral describes it as "partial 16S ribosomal RNA". It matches the Rfam family "Bacterial large subunit ribosomal RNA", at positions 719 to 2619 of the family's 2925-position model. The record is from RNAcentral. Lineage: Eukaryota; Metazoa; Mollusca; Gastropoda; Stylommatophora; Achatinidae.